CCUACGGGGGGCAGCAGUGGGGAAUAUUGGACAAUGGGCGAAAGCCUGAUCCAGCCAUGCCGCGUGUGUGAAGAAGGCCUUCGGGUUGUAAAGCACUUUCAGUGGGGAAGAAAGCCUUGGGGCUAAUACCCUCGAGGAAGGACAUCACCCACAGAAGAAGCACCGGCUAACUCCGUGCCAGCAGCCGCGGUAAUACGGAGGGUGCGAGCGUUAAUCGGAAUUACUGGGCGUAAAGCGCGCGUAGGCGGUCUGAUAAGCCGGUUGUGAAAGCCCCGGGCUCAACCUGGGAACGGCAUCCGGAACUGUCAGGCUAGAGUGCAAGAGAGGAAGGUAGAAUUCCCGGUGUAGCGGUGAAAUGCGUAGAGAUCGGGAGGAAUACCAGUGGCGAAGGCGGCCUUCUGGACUGACACUGACGCUGAGGUGCGAAAGCGUGGGUAGCAAACAGGAUUAGAUACCCCAGUAGUC
This 465-nucleotide ribosomal RNA is filed under the name Vreelandella stevensii. Its description in RNAcentral is "partial 16S ribosomal RNA". It matches the Rfam family "Bacterial small subunit ribosomal RNA", at positions 338 to 795 of the family's 1533-position model. The record is from RNAcentral. Lineage: Bacteria; Pseudomonadati; Pseudomonadota; Gammaproteobacteria; Oceanospirillales; Halomonadaceae.